This 461-nucleotide ribosomal RNA is filed under the name uncultured bacterium. RNAcentral's name for it is "partial 16S ribosomal RNA". It matches the Rfam family "Bacterial small subunit ribosomal RNA", at positions 338 to 795 of the family's 1533-position model. The record is from RNAcentral.
CCUACGGGGGAGCAGCAGUGAGGAAUAUUGGUCAAUGGCCGGAAGGCUGAACCAGCCAAGCCGCGUGAAGGACGAAGGUGCCAAGCAUUGUAAACUUCUUUUGUCAAGGGACAAAAUCAGGCUCGAGAGCCUGACCGAGGGUACUUGAAGAAAAAGCAUCGGCUAACUCCGUGCCAGCAGCCGCGGUAAUACGUAGGUGGCAAGCGUUGUUCGGAAUAACUGGGCGUAAAGGAUGCGUAGGCGGUUAAACAAGUUAUAUGUUAAAUAUAUAGGCUUAACCUGUAGAAAGCAUAUAAAACUGUUUAACUAGAGUGCAGGAGAGGUAAGUGGAAUUCCUAGUGUAGCGGUGAAAUGCGUAGAGAUUAGGAAGAACACCAGUGGCGAAGGCGACUUACUGGACUGUAACUGACGCUGAGGCAUGAGAGCAUGGGGAGCAAACAGGAUUAGAUACCCGAGUAGUC